This 251-nucleotide ribosomal RNA is filed under the name uncultured bacterium. Its description in RNAcentral is "partial 16S ribosomal RNA". It matches the Rfam family "Bacterial small subunit ribosomal RNA", at positions 524 to 776 of the family's 1533-position model. The record is from RNAcentral.
GACGGGGGGGGCAAGUGUUCUUCGGAAUGACUGGGCGUAAAGGGCACGUAGGCGGUGAAUCGGGUUGAAAGUGAAAGUCGCCAAAAAGUGGCGGAAUGCUCUCGAAACCAAUUCACUUGAGUGAGACAGAGGAGAGUGGAAUUGCAGGUGUAGCGGUGAAAUGCGUAGAUAUCUGCAGGAACACCCGUGGCGAAGGCGGCUCGCUGGACCGCAACUGACGCUGAGGAACGAAAGCUAGGGGAGCAAACAGG